AUCACCUGGGAAUCUUGUUAAAAUGCUGAUUCUGAUUCAGGGAAUCUUGAUAAAAUCUCGAUUCUGGUUCAGGAGAUCUGGGAUGGGGGCUAAGAUUCUGCAUUUCUAACAAGCUCCCAGAUAAUGCCAG
Molecule: microRNA precursor, 130 nt
Filed under: Loxodonta africana (African savanna elephant)
Lineage: Eukaryota; Metazoa; Chordata; Mammalia; Proboscidea; Elephantidae
Description: mir-544 microRNA precursor family
Rfam family: mir-544 microRNA precursor family
Source: Rfam by way of RNAcentral